UCGGGUAUGGUGUAACGGCUAACAUUGCCGCCUUUCAUGUUAUUUGAAUUGCAUCGCGGCAGCUCGGGGUUCGAUUCCCCGUACCCGAA
This is a non-coding RNA of Termitomyces sp. T159_Od127, 89 nucleotides long. Lineage: Eukaryota; Fungi; Basidiomycota; Agaricomycetes; Agaricales; Lyophyllaceae. The record is from the annotation of a GenBank genome assembly.